Molecule: ribosomal RNA, 442 nt
Filed under: uncultured bacterium
Lineage: Bacteria
Description: partial 16S ribosomal RNA
Rfam family: Bacterial small subunit ribosomal RNA
Source: RNAcentral
CCUACGUGAGGCAGCAGUGGGGGAUAUUGGACAAUGGGGGGAACCCUGAUCCAGCGACGCCGCGUGAGUGAAGCAGUAUUUCGGUAUGUAAAGCUCUGUUAGCAGGGAAGAAAGAAAUGACGGUACCUGACCAAUAAGCCUCGGCUAACUACGUGCCAGCAGCCGCGGUAAUACGGAGGAUGCGAGCGUUAUCCGGAUUUAUUGGGUUUAAGGGGUGCGUAGGCGGGCUGUUAAGUCAGCGGUAAAAUUGCGGGGCUCAACCCCGUCGAGCCGUUGAAACUGGCAGACUUGAGUUGGCGAGAAGUACGCGGAAUGCGCGGUGUAGCGGUGAAAUGCAUAGAUAUCGCGCAGAACUCCGAUUGCGAAGGCAGCGUACCGGCGCCAGACUGACGCUGAGGCACGAAAGCGUGGGGAUCGAACAGGAUUAGAUACCCGUGUAGUC